GGGAUAGCCUUUCGAAAGAAAGAUUAAUACCCGAUAGUAUAAUGAUUCCGCAUGGUUUGAUUAUUAAAGGAUUCCGGUAAAGGAUGGGGAUGCGUUCCAUUAGGUUGUUGGUGAGGUAACGGCUCACCAAGCCUUCGAUGGAUAGGGGUUCUGAGAGGAAGGUCCCCCACAUUGGAACUGAGACACGGUCCAAACUCCUACGGGAGGCAGCAGUGAGGAAUAUUGGUCAAUGGGCGUUAGCCUGAACCAGCCAAGUAGCGUGAAGGAUGAAGGCUCUAUGGGUCGUAAACUUCUUUUAUAUAAGAAUAAAGUGCAGUAUGUAUACUGUUUUGUAUGUAUUAUAUGAAUAAGGAUCGGCUAACUCCGUGCCAGCAGCCGCGGUAAUACGGAGGAUCCGAGCGUUAUCCGGAUUUAUUGGGUUUAAAGGGAGCGUAGGUGGACUGGUAAGUCAGUUGUGAAAGUUUGCGGCUCAACCGUAAAAUUGCAGUUGAUACUGUCAGUCUUGAGUACAGUAGAGGUGGGCGGAAUUCGUGGUGUAGCGGUGAAAUGCUUAGAUAUCACGAAGAACUCCGAUUGCGAAGGCAGCUCACUGGACUGCAACUGACA
This 606-nucleotide ribosomal RNA is filed under the name uncultured Bacteroidales bacterium. RNAcentral's name for it is "bacterial SSU rRNA". It matches the Rfam family "Bacterial small subunit ribosomal RNA", at positions 140 to 745 of the family's 1533-position model. The record is from RNAcentral. Lineage: Bacteria; Pseudomonadati; Bacteroidota; Bacteroidia; Bacteroidales.